CGUUAUCUCCGAUUUCCAAAAAUAUUCAUUAAGGAAAAAAAGAAAGAAAAGGAAAAGAACAAGUAGAAACUAAAAAAAAAAAGGAGUCUGGCAACCCUCUUGUAAAAAUUUCUUCCAUUUCAUAUUAUAGAGCCUAUUUUACACUUGUUCGUGAAAUUUGGCGAUAAUAAAAAAUUUUCAACCUGAAAAAGUUUCCAUUUUACCCUUCUACUUGAAAACCCCC
This 223-nucleotide long non-coding RNA is filed under the name Gossypium raimondii (Peruvian cotton). Its description in RNAcentral is "long non-coding RNA (GRAI_LNC003717)". The record is from RNAcentral. Lineage: Eukaryota; Viridiplantae; Streptophyta; Magnoliopsida; Malvales; Malvaceae.